Molecule: ribosomal RNA, 1496 nt
Filed under: uncultured bacterium
Lineage: Bacteria
Description: 16S ribosomal RNA
Rfam family: Bacterial small subunit ribosomal RNA
Source: RNAcentral
UUGAGAGUUUGAUCCUGGCUCAGGAUGAACGCUAGCUACAGGCUUAACACAUGCAAGUCGAGGGGCAGCGAGGUUGAAGCUUGCUUCAACUGUCGGCGACCGGCGCACGGGUGAGUAACACGUAUCCAACCUGCCAUUCACUCUCGGAUAGCCUUCUGAAAGGAAGAUUAAUACGAGAUGGUAUCAGGAAUCAGCAUUUUUUCUUGAUUAAAGAAUUUCGGUGGAUGAUGGGGAUGCGUUCCAUUAGGCAGUUGGCGGGGUAACGGCCCACCAAACCUACGAUGGAUAGGGGUUCUGAGAGGAAGGUCCCCCACAUUGGAACUGAGACACGGUCCAAACUCCUACGGGAGGCAGCAGUGAGGAAUAUUGGUCAAUGGACGAGAGUCUGAACCAGCCAAGUAGCGUGAAGGAUGACUGCCCUAUGGGUUGUAAACUUCUUUUAUACGGGAAUAAAGUUCACUACGUGUAGUGUUUUGUAUGUACCGUAUGAAUAAGGAUCGGCUAACUCCGUGCCAGCAGCCGCGGUAAUACGGAGGAUCCGAGCGUUAUCCGGAUUUAUUGGGUUUAAAGGGAGCGUAGAUGGGUGUUUAAGUCAGUUGUGAAAGUUUGCGGCUCAACCGUAAAAUUGCAGUUGAUACUGGACGCCUUGAGUGCAGUUGAGGUAGGCGGAAUUCGUGGUGUAGCGGUGAAAUGCUUAGAUAUCACGAAGAACUCCGAUUGCGAAGGCAGCCUACUAAGCUGUAACUGACAUUGAGGCUCGAAAGUGUGGGUAUCAAACAGGAUUAGAUACCCUGGUAGUCCACACGGUAAACGAUGAAUACUCGCUGUUGGCGAUAUACAGUCAGCGGCCAAGCGAAAGCAUUAAGUAUUCCACCUGGGGAGUACGCCGGCAACGGUGAAACUCAAAGGAAUUGACGGGGGCCCGCACAAGCGGAGGAACAUGUGGUUUAAUUCGAUGAUACGCGAGGAACCUUACCCGGGCUUGAAUUGCUUCUGAAUAACCUGGAAACAGGUUAGCCGCAAGGCAGAAGUGAAGGUGCUGCAUGGUUGUCGUCCAGCUCGUGCCGUGAGGUGUCCGGCUUAAGUGCCAUAACGAGCGCAACCCUCAUCUCCAGUUGCCAUCAGGUCAUGCUGGGAACUCUGGAGAGACUGCCGUCGUAAGAUGUGAGGAAGGUGGGGAUGACGUCAAAUCAGCACGGCCCUUACGUCCGGGGCUACACACGUGUUACAAUGGGGGGUACAGCAGGCAGCUACCUGGCGACAGGAUGCUAAUCCCGAAAACCUCUCUCAGUUCGGACUGGAGUCUGCAACCCGACUCCACGAAGCUGGAUUCGCUAGUAAUCGCGCAUCAGCCACGGCGCGGUGAAUACGUUCCCGGGCCUUGUACACACCGCCCGUCAAGCCAUGAAAGCCGGGGGUACCUGAAGUACGUAACCGCAAGGAGCGUCCUAGGGUAAAACUGGUGAUUGGGGCUAAGUCGUAACAAGGUAGCCGUA